AAGUUUGUUGUUUUGGUGGCGGUGGGUAUCUCACACUAGGUGGCGGUGGUGACUUAGGGCUUGGUCCAUUAGGCGGUGGCGGCUUUACAAUCGGUGGUGGUGGUGACUUGACAACCGGUGGAGGAGGUGGUGGUGACUUUGCAACUGGAGGAGGAGGUGGAGGGGCCGACUUCACGACCGGAGGUGGUGGUGGUGGCGAUUUCACAAACGGAGGAGGAGGUGGUGGCGUUUUAGGGCUCGGUGAAGAAGGCGGUGGGGGACAGUUUGGUGUCUUAGAAGCAGGGGGAGGAGGAGGGUUAUUUGAGCAGUCACAAGCUAGAGAUGUAAGCAAAGUGCCCAAGUUCAAGAGUAGAAUAAAGGAACUUGCUAAUUGAUAUUUUCCC
RNAcentral lists this long non-coding RNA (383 nucleotides) under Citrus sinensis (sweet orange). RNAcentral's name for it is "long non-coding RNA (CSIN_LNC004590)". The record is from RNAcentral. Lineage: Eukaryota; Viridiplantae; Streptophyta; Magnoliopsida; Sapindales; Rutaceae.